GGGGAGCCACGGCCACUGUAGCCUGUGCGGUCGCAGCUACAGUGUCCCAUCCUGGUACUUGUGGCGGUCACGUUGAGGAGCGCGGACACCUUUCUGCGCGCCAAAGCCGCGGCGCAUUUAUGGCAAGAUCGGUGAGGGGGCCAUGAGAUCCGCGCCCUCAUCUGGCGGUCUACGCCCAAGGCGGAUACUUAUCUUGUGGGUCCGGAUGAGUCUGACGCCCUACGCCCGGGGUCGAGCGAGGCGGAGUCCUGCGGCGAGGGGUCGGGUGCUCCCGACCCUAGGACCGAGGGUCGGGCGAGGUGGAGUUUUGUCAUCGAGGGGUUGGGAGUGUCCGACCCCGGGGCCCUGGGUCGGGCGAGAUGGAGUAGGAUGCUCUCUGCAUUUGCUGGGUCGGCGGUAAUCGUUAUUAUCGUAGGUGGGCCUAGGCCUUCAUGAUUGUUGCUUUAAGGGGCAUUAGGAGGUCGUUAAUAUUUCCC
RNAcentral lists this long non-coding RNA (476 nucleotides) under Setaria viridis. RNAcentral's name for it is "long non-coding RNA (SVIR_LNC004115)". Lineage: Eukaryota; Viridiplantae; Streptophyta; Magnoliopsida; Poales; Poaceae. The record is from RNAcentral.